RNAcentral lists this non-coding RNA (148 nucleotides) under Pan troglodytes (chimpanzee). The record is from Rfam by way of RNAcentral. Lineage: Eukaryota; Metazoa; Chordata; Mammalia; Primates; Hominidae.
GCUGGGCGUGGUGGCGGGCGCCUGUGAUCCCAGCUACUUGGGAGGCUGAGGCAGGAGGAUCACUUGAACCCAGGAAGCGGAGGUUGCAGUGAGCCAAGAUCACAUCACUGUACUCCAGCCUGGGCAACAGAGUGAGACUCUGUCUCUA